CCUCAUAGAACUGAUGAAUGUUUUCAGGUGUUCCAGUUGUACUAAUAGCAAGGCGUGGUUUUCUAUGCAGAGUAAGAGUGCUGUGGUUCUAAAUGUUGCUGCUGGUGUGACUUCACUUGUCACAGCGAUGGUCUUCUUCCUGGAUGCGUCUCAAGCAUUUACCAACAGCAACCCUGGGCAGUCAGACCUGGACAUGUCCAGCCAGGCAAUUUCAGGAUUUUCAGCCAUUCUCUGCUUGAUCCAGCUGAUGUUGUGUGGCUGUUCUGCAGGAGUAGGCAAACCUGGAGGUUGCUGUGAUCCCACACGUCAGGUGAGUCUAUCUACAGAAUUUUUCUCAGAUCAGUUUAUUAGCUACAGCUGACAUAAUUGAAUUCAGUUCGAUUCAGUUUUAUUUAUGUAAUCUGAAAUCAUGACAACAGUUGCCUCAAGGUGCUUUAUAUUGUACAAAAAGAUGCUACGAUAAUACAUAGAAACCUCAGUAAUCAGACAACCCUCUAUAAACAAGGACUUUGGUGACAGUGGGAAGAAAAAACUCCCUUUUAACAGGAAGAAACCUCUGGCAGAAGGAAGCUCUGCCUCCCAUUCUACUUUUAAAUACUCUGGGAACAACAAGUAGGCCUGCAGUGUGAGAGCGAAGUGCUCUAAUACGGUGAUAUGGUACUACAAGGUCAUUAAGAUAAGAUGGGGCCUGAUUAUUUAAGACCUUGUAUGUGAGGAGCAGGAUUUUGAAUUCAAUUCUGGAUUUAACAGGAAGCCAAUGAAGGGAAGCCAAAACAGGAGAAAUCUGCUCUCUCUUUCUAGUCCCUGUCAGGACUCUUGCUGCAGCAUUUUGGAUGAACUGAAGGCUUUUCAGGGAGUUUUUAGGACUUCCUGAUAAUAAUGAAUUACAGUAGUCCAGCCUGGAAGUAAUAAAUGCAUGAACUAGUUUUUCAGCAUCACUCUGAGACAGGAUGUUUCUAAUUUUAGAGAUGUUGCACAAAUGGAAGAAAGCAGUCUUACAUAUUUGUUUAAUAUGUGCGAUGAAGGACAUGUCCUGGUCAAAAAUGACUCCAAGGUUCCUCACAGCAUUACUGGAGGCCAAGGUAAUGCCAUCCAGAGUAAAAAUCUGCUUAGAUACCAUAUUUCUAAGAUUUUCAGGGCCAAGUACAAUAACCUCAGUUUGAUCUGAGUUUAGAUUUCUGCAGUUUAACUAAUUGGUGUGCAUUAUUUGGCUUCAUGGAUAGAUGGAAAUUGGGUGUCGUCUGCAUAGCAAUAAAAAUAUGGUGGGGGUGGCUUGGGCGUGGCUGCAGGAGAGGCUGAGACACGCUGGAGCUCCAUCAGCUCAUCACGCCUGCCAUGUACAAAAUAUGCCGGGAACUGAGGUUGGGAUUGUUGUUGUGAGUGUGCUGAAGUCCGGUCACAGCUGAGACAGAGAACUGUAAGAACAACAACCGAAUAAAGAAGUGUAUGAAACGUACGAACUAUGUGGUUGGUCUGUCAUUCAUGUCACAUACACUAUGCCUUCUAAUGACAAGGGAAGCAUGUAUAAUGUAAACAGAAUUGGUCCUAGCACUGAACCCUGUGGAACACCAUAAUUAACCUCAGUGUGUGAAGAGGACUCUCCAUUUACAUGCACAAAUUGGAGUCUAUUAGAUAGAUAUGAUACAAACCACUGCAGUGCAGUACCUGUAAUACCUACAGCAUGUUCUAAUCGCUCUAAUAGGAUAUUAUGGUCGACAGUAUGGAACGCUGCACUGAGGUCUAGCAGGACAAGCACACUUACUUCUUUCUAAUGUCUAAUAGAUAUAUUUGUCUCUUUGGUAUUCACCAACCAGCACUAUGGAAAUGCUUCAGUGACUGUACAGACUCCCCAAACUUGGACCAACCCACAGUGAGAGCGCUGCCUGUCAGUCAGGCUCCACCUAGUUAUCUGGACCUACCACCAGGGAUAGUUCCCGUCUGUCCUCACGAGGUUUGUUCUACAGCUGUAAGCUCAGAACCAGAUGUGAUUCUUCAAACGUAGGAAAGAAUCUGAUUAUUGUAUCAAUAGACCAAUACGCUGUAUUUUAUUAUUAUCAACACGCCCAUCACAGACAGUUCCUCUCUGUAUUAAAUCUGCGUGCUCGACUCAUAUGAUUAUCAUUAACCAAACAACACAGACCACGCUGCUUUUUGUUUUCCAGAGAGAGAUUAUCAACAUGCAUGUGUCCAAAAUUAACCAAAAUACCUAAAUACAGAAAGUAAAAUCAAAUGCAAUCUGCUGCAAGAAAAAGUAUUUUAUAUAAUAUUAUUAUAUUAUAUUGUUGUUUGCAGAAACCUCCAGGCUACGGCAGCAUUGUGAGCUGAGGCCACACCCCCUCAAACAGAUGCCACUGCCGUCCAAUCACAUUCAGCAUUCUGACUUUUAUUUGUGCUUCAAAGUUUCUCUUAAACAGACUGAUCAUUUUGCCUGUUACUGAUUAUCAUCGAUUAUGUUAUUAAUUGCUUCUGAUUGAUCUUGUUGUAACGGUUAAAUAAAGCAGUGUCAUCUUUAUUAAUAAUUAGAGAGCUUCGAAUAAUGACAACACAGUAGAAAUGAUACAGGUGUAAUACCUGGAGAUGACCACCCGAUGGCGCUGUGUGGUCAGUAACAUCAUCACAGGUGAGACAGAGUUUUCUAAACCUCACUUCUUGAGAUGUGUCUGAGGCCGAAAGCAGCUCCUCACACUGUCUCUGUGUGCAAUAAAAAGGACAUUUUGGACAUGUUUUCCUGAUGUGGCAUCUUUAAUGGGCCAUAAAAGGCCGAAUGAGCCGAUUCUCCAAAGGCAGGUUUUCAAUAUUUGCUGUCAGAGAUGAUUAAGUGACCUAAAAACUUACCUCAUAACUUGUAAAUCAUAAUAAAGGACUUUGUUGUAUCAUGGUUAUAUUACAUCUUUGGAAAGAUCAGACAGCAGGUUCAAUCCUCUGAGAGAAAACUAAAGGAUUACUCAUCGAAACAUCAUGGGGCGACCGUGGUUUAGGGGGUUGGGAAGCGCAUCUGCAACCGGAAGGUCGCCGGUUUGAUCCCCGGCCUUUCUGUCCUGGUCGUUGUGUCCUUGGGCAAGACACUUUACCCUACCGCCUACUGGUGUUGGCCAGAGGGGCCGAUGGCGCGACAUGGCAGCCUCGCCUCUGUCAGUCUGCCCCAGGGCAGCUGUGGCUACAACAGUAGCUUGCCUCCACCAGUGUGUGAAUGUGAGAGUGAAUGAAUAGUGGCAUUGUAAAGCGCUUUGGGUGCCUUGAAAAGCGCUAUAUAAAUCCAAUCCAUUAUUAUUAUUAUUAUCAUCAGGAUAUGUGGACUUCCUGUUAUACAGGAACGACAUCAUGAACCUGCUGUUAGUGUAAAGUUACAUGAGAUAAAGUUUGUGUUAAACUCAGGAUAAAACAAGCCACACAGGACGUUUUCACGACAAAGCAGAAAGUUUCAGGUGAACUCAGAGAUGAUGAGGGUACCUGUAAAGAGCAUCCUGAAUAGUCUCAAACAGCAUGUUCAAGAUUCGUGUUUGAACCACACAGCAGAUACACACUGUGGUACAUACAGGUGUGCCAUAGCUGGAUUCAGACAGCUUACCUGUGGAUGAGGAGUCCUGCUUAGGGUCCUGGAUUUGUCUGAAUUAUUUCCAAAAUAAACUUCCCUUACAGGAAGGUGAGAGGGGAUCAUCUUGUUCAGAAAGGUAGAGAUCAUAGAAUAAAUAAAAAAGCAAAAUAUUCAAUAAAGAUUUCAUGAUCAGAACGUGAGUACACGCAAGCCAAAGAAUCCAA
RNAcentral lists this long non-coding RNA (3759 nucleotides) under Oreochromis niloticus (Nile tilapia). RNAcentral's name for it is "lncRNA (ENSONIG00000028452.1)". Lineage: Eukaryota; Metazoa; Chordata; Actinopteri; Cichliformes; Cichlidae. The record is from RNAcentral.